ACGGAGAGCAAACACCGGGCAGAGGGCUAAGCUGCCUGAAGCUGGGAACCCCAGGGAGUGUAGACGCCGGCCUGGAUCCCGGGUCUGGGAUGGCAGACAUGAAACUUCUUGGGAAGACAUCCCUCCCCACAGGCAGGGGGUCCUCACUGGUCUCACACGGGUUGUCCCCAUGAACUUGUGGGAGCUUCACGGCUUCUGCAUCUGAGGAGCUGAUUGGAAGGGGAGGUGGCGUGCAGGCUGACAACGCGAUGCUUCGUAUUCAUCAUAAUCACAGCAACAAGACCGACUCACACCAAUGCAGCCCUUCCCGAUGCCAGGCGCUGACCUUCACACGCAGUGACGCGUCGCAUCCUCAGAACCACCCCAGGAGGUACCCUGCUAUCCUAUUCCCAUUUUACAGAUGCGGACACUGAGGCUCAGAAAAGCGGUGAAGUUUGCCCAAGGUCACACGAACUAAGAACGUCAAUGUUUGUUCUCGGGUUCAAAGAAGUCAGCGUCUUUGGCGGGAGCUGGGCCACCAUCGCCCGGACCACGCUGGGGUGCUAAGUGCUCACAUCCUCCCCAGCACUGUCCUCAACAGCCAAGAGGCAGGCACAGGGGAAAACCCACCAGCAACACCAGCACCACAGCGUCCACACCCGCCGAGGAUGCUGCACAAAAGGCCCAUGGACCAGGGUGCCUGGGGGCAGGGCAUGCUGGGCACCGUCCAUCUUCUGGCAGCUUCUGGUUAACCCGAAAAUCCUGUUUGGUUUUCCUGUGUCUUUUGAGAAUGUCACUCAAACCCCUGAAUCCUCUCUGUGAUCUAAGUGUCAUGAGGCCUGCAAAACCUCGCUUCCUGCAGCAGACUUCUCCGCUUCCUGGCCCCCAUGAAGACUGUUAUCCACAAGUAGCCAGAGGGAUUCUGUAAAAAUCAAAGUCAGGGCAGGGCCCUCCUCUGCUCAAAACCCUCCCAUGGCUCCCUACUUCACUCAGGGAGGAAGCCACGCCCAUAUUGUAGCCUCUUCCACCUCUCACACUCAUUGCACAGGCGGCCACCAAGCCCCUUUCUACCCCAGUGCCUUUGCACUUGCCACCCCCUUACUUCAUUGCAAUCCCUUCUUAGCAGAGAGGCUGACCCUGAAUUCCCUCCUGAAAUAGUGACCCUUCUCA
This 1149-nucleotide long non-coding RNA is filed under the name Homo sapiens (human). Its description in RNAcentral is "HSALNT0268638". The record is from RNAcentral. Lineage: Eukaryota; Metazoa; Chordata; Mammalia; Primates; Hominidae.